This 468-nucleotide ribosomal RNA is filed under the name uncultured bacterium. RNAcentral's name for it is "partial 16S ribosomal RNA". It matches the Rfam family "Bacterial small subunit ribosomal RNA", at positions 28 to 507 of the family's 1533-position model. The record is from RNAcentral.
GACGAACGCUGGCGGCGUGCUUAACACAUGCAAGUCGAACGGAAAGGCCCUGCUUUUGUGGGGUGCUCGAGUGGCGAACGGGUGAGUAACACGUGAGUAACCUGCCCUUGACUUUGGGAUAACUUCAGGAAACUGGGGCUAAUACCGGAUAGGAGCUCCUGCUGCAUGGUGGGGGUUGGAAAGUUUCGGCGGUUGGGGAUGGACUCGCGGCUUAUCAGCUUGUUGGUGGGGUAGUGGCUUACCAAGGCUUUGACGGGUAGCCGGCCUGAGAGGGUGACCGGCGACAUUGGGACUGAGAUACGGCCCAGACUCCUACGGGAGGCAGCAGUGGGGAAUAGUGUAAAAUGGGCGGAAGCCUGAUGCAGCAACGCAGCGUGCGGGAUGACGGCCUUCGGGUUGUAAACCGCUUUCGCAUGUGACGAAGCGUGAGUGACGGUAAUGGGUAAAGAAGCACCGGCUAACUACGUG